Molecule: non-coding RNA, 130 nt
Organism: Xylaria longipes
Lineage: Eukaryota; Fungi; Ascomycota; Sordariomycetes; Xylariales; Xylariaceae
Source: the annotation of a GenBank genome assembly
GCCCGGUUAGCUCAAUCGGUAGAGCGUGAGACUCUUAAUCUCAAGGUUGCGGGUGAGUAAUUGAAAGCAAACCACAAUUGAGGAUGAAUAAAUGUACUAAUCCUAGCAGGUUCGACCCCCGCAUCGGGCU